Molecule: ribosomal RNA, 451 nt
Filed under: uncultured bacterium
Lineage: Bacteria
Description: bacterial SSU rRNA
Rfam family: Bacterial small subunit ribosomal RNA
Source: RNAcentral
UGCCAGACUCCUACGGGAGGCAGCAGUGGGGAAUAUUGGGCAAUGGAGGCAACUCUUACCCAGCAAUGCCGCGUGAAUGAAGAAGGUCUUCGGAUUGUAAAGUUCUUUAAUUGGGGACGAAAAAAAUGACGGUACCCAAGGAAUAAGCCCCGGCUAACUACGUGCCAGCAGCCGCGGUAAUACGGAGGAUGCGAGCGUUAUCCGGAUUUAUUGGGUUUAAAGGGUGCGCAGGCGGCACGGCAAGCCGGCGGUCAAAUCGCGGGGCUCAACCCCGCCCAGCCGUCGGAACUGCCGGGCUAGAGUGGGCGAGAAGUGCGCGGAAUGCGUGGUGUAGCGGUGAAAUGCAUAGAUAUCACGCAGAACUCCGAUUGCGAGGGCAGCGCACCGGCGCCCUACUGACGCUCAGGCACGAAAGCGUGGGUAUCGAACAGGAUUAGAUACCCUUGUAGUA